Molecule: ribosomal RNA, 449 nt
Filed under: uncultured bacterium
Lineage: Bacteria
Description: partial 16S ribosomal RNA
Rfam family: Bacterial small subunit ribosomal RNA
Source: RNAcentral
AGCGAACGCUGGCGGCAGGCCUAACACAUGCAAGUCGAACGGACCCUUCGGGGUUAGUGGCGGACGGGUGAGUAACACGUGGGAACGUGCCUUUAGGUUCGGAAUAGCUCCUGGAAACGGGUGGUAAUGCCGCAUGUGCCCUUCGGGGGAAAGAUUUAUCGCCUUUAGAGCGGCCCGCGUCUGAUUAGCUAGUUGGUGAGGUAAUGGCUCACCAAGGCGACGAUCAGUAGCUGGUCUGAGAGGAUGACCAGCCACAUUGGGACUGAGACACGGCCCAAACUCCUACGGGAGGCAGCAGUGGGGAAUCUUGCGCAAUGGGCGAAAGCCUGACGCAGCCAUGCCGCGUGGAUGAUGAAGGUCUUAGGAUUGUAAAAUCCUUUCACCGGUGAAGAUAAUGACUGUAGCCGGAGAAGAAGCCCCGGCUAACUUCGCGCCAGCCGCCGCGGUAA